This 730-nucleotide ribosomal RNA is filed under the name uncultured Gammaproteobacteria bacterium. Its description in RNAcentral is "bacterial SSU rRNA". It matches the Rfam family "Bacterial small subunit ribosomal RNA", at positions 57 to 778 of the family's 1533-position model. The record is from RNAcentral. Lineage: Bacteria; Pseudomonadati; Pseudomonadota; Gammaproteobacteria.
GCAAGUCGAGCGGUAACACAGGGAGCUUGCUCCUGGGUGACGAGCGGCGGACGGGUGAGUAAUGUCUGGGAAACUGCCCGACGGAGGGGGAUAACUACUGGAAACGGUAGCUAAUACCGCAUAAUGUCGCAAGACCAAAGAGGGGGACCUUCGGGCCUCUUGCCAUCGGAUGUGCCCAGAUGGGAUUAGCUAGUAGGUGGGGUAACGGCUCACCUAGGCGACGAUCCCUAGCUGGUCUGAGAGGAUGACCAGCCACACUGGAACUGAGACACGGUCCAGACUCCUACGGGAGGCAGCAGUGGGGAAUAUUGCACAAUGGGCGCAAGCCUGAUGCAGCCAUGCCGCGUGUAUGAAGAAGGCCUUCGGGUUGUAAAGUACUUUCAGCGAGGAGGAAGGCAUUAAGGUUAAUAACCUUGGUGAUUGACGUUACUCGCAGAAGAAGCACCGGCUAACUCCGUGCCAGCAGCCGCGGUAAUACGGAGGGUGCAAGCGUUAAUCGGAAUUACUGGGCGUAAAGCGCACGCAGGCGGUCUGUCAAGUCGGAUGUGAAAUCCCCGGGCCCAACCUGGGAACUGCAUUCGAAACUGGCAGGCUAGAGUCUUGUAGAGGGGGGUAGAAUUCCAGGUGUAGCGGUGAAAUGCGUAGAGAUCUGGAGGAAUACCGGUGGCGAAGGCGGCCCCCUGGACAAAGACUGACGCUCAGGUGCGAAAGCGUGGGGAGCAAACAGGAU